UAUUAUAGAGGUAAAAUGACAGCACA
This 26-nucleotide non-coding RNA is filed under the name Rattus norvegicus (Norway rat). The record is from RNAcentral. Lineage: Eukaryota; Metazoa; Chordata; Mammalia; Rodentia; Muridae.